Macaca fascicularis (crab-eating macaque) is the source of this 148-nucleotide unclassified non-coding RNA. It matches the Rfam family "Metazoan signal recognition particle RNA". From Rfam's summary of the family: The signal recognition particle (SRP) is a universally conserved ribonucleoprotein. It is involved in the co-translational targeting of proteins to membranes. The record is from Ensembl. NCBI's taxonomy places the organism in Eukaryota, Metazoa, Chordata, Mammalia, Primates, Cercopithecidae.
GCCAGGUGUGGUGGUGCACGCCUGUAGUCCCAGCUACUCAGGAGGCUAAGAUUGGGGAAUUGCUUGAGCCCAGGAGGUCGAGGCUGCAGUGAGCUGAGAUCAGGCUGCUGCACUCCGGCCUGGGCAACAGAGCAAGACUCUGUCUCAA